This 742-nucleotide long non-coding RNA is filed under the name Pan troglodytes (chimpanzee). Its description in RNAcentral is "long non-coding RNA NONPTRT012972". The record is from RNAcentral. Lineage: Eukaryota; Metazoa; Chordata; Mammalia; Primates; Hominidae.
CGCGAAGCCAGGGGGCGGGGAAGAAGGGGGACGUGUACCCCUCCCUCAUUCACGGUACCACCGCGAGGGGGAGUGGGGGGCUACAAGGGGGCGGAGAGAAGAGUCCAGACGUCCCACAUCCUGAGGGCGAGUUUCAGCCUCGUGGAGGGCAGCGAAAGUAAUUGCAUGGAUCAGGAAAAUCUUGCAAUCGGAAAACAGCAGCGUCCCCGUAAUUUCAAUAUAGGUGGGGCUUACAAGUGGCUGGCUGUUUAGACGCGGUUAGCCUAGCUUAGCGUUUUAUUUACUUGCCAAACAUUUCACAAAGCGCGUGCUAUGUGUGAGUGUACCAGGCAUUGCUCUAACCGUUUUACACAUUUACAUGCUAUAACUCCAAAAUUAUCGUUACCCCCUUUUACGAAUGAGGAGACGAAGACCCAGAAAUGUGACGUACAUUUACCUGAACUCAUCACCUUCCCACCCCCAUCCCAUCGACUCUGUGCUGUAUCCUGAACCGGCUGACAGAACAAUGAUGUAGACUUGACUUGUUUUCGCCAACCUGGAAUGAAGCAAAGCUCUUGUGCACCCAAGAUCUGCUCUCUGUUGUAAAUCCUGUUCAGACCUGGUCUAAUUGGUUUGAAUAAAUAAAGAACCGGAAUCUCUCUCAUCCAAACUAGUUGCCAGCAUAUUUUUAAGGCCACCUCCCUUCAAAUUUAAAAGGAAGUGUUGAAUGUAAUGUCACUAUAAAUUAAAAGCCCUGGAAAUU